GAUGAAGAACGUAGCAAAAUGCGAUAAGUAGUGUGAAUUGCAGAAUUCAGUGAAUCAUCGAAUCUUUGAACGCACAUUGCGCCCCUUGGUAUUCCAUGGGGCAUGCCUGUUCGAGCGUCAUAUAUACCCUCAAGCUCUGCUUGGUGUUGGGUGUUUGUCAACUGACUCACCUUAAAGUGACUGGCUAUUGGUAUAGAUAGAUCAAGUGCAGUACAUCUCGCGCUGUUCUUUCGCUAUCACGGCCACACAAACCUAUAAUUUGACCUCGGAUCAGGUAGGGAUACCCGCUGAACUUAAGCAUAUCAAUAAGCGGAGGA
RNAcentral lists this unclassified non-coding RNA (317 nucleotides) under soil metagenome. RNAcentral's name for it is "partial contains 5.8S ribosomal RNA, internal transcribed spacer 2, and large subunit ribosomal RNA". The stretch from base 1 to 120 matches the Rfam family "5.8S ribosomal RNA", at positions 35 to 154 of the family's 154-position model. The record is from RNAcentral.